Molecule: ribosomal RNA, 88 nt
Filed under: Clostridium tetani E88
Lineage: Bacteria; Bacillati; Bacillota; Clostridia; Eubacteriales; Clostridiaceae
Source: RNAcentral
GGUAACACCCGUUCCCAUGCCGAACACGAUGGUUAAGCUUCUAAGCGCCGAUGGUACUGCAAGGGCAACCUUGUGGGAGAGUAGGACG